GCAUGCUCUCAGGGGUGGGGGCAGAGAGGAGCCAGGAGCAGGAGAAAGAGGAUGGGUGAGACAGUGCCCCUCUAUGAUACUUCGAAGCUGGAGGCUGACAGACCAGUCAAGAGACUCAUGGGCUAAGAUGGAAUGGCUGGAAUGGUGUCCUCUCCCCUCACCAUAGCAUCAAGAGACUAACUUGUUCUUCUCUUCCAAAGGAGAUUGAUAGUCAGUGCCUGAUGGUUCUGUCAUAUGAGAGCAAGCAGUCUGGUCCUCUUCUCAUCUCACCUGCCCCAGAACCAUGGUGACAUCUAUUCCCUCCCCAAAUGCAGGGGCAUCAAUAGCAGGAAGAUCAUCAGUGGCAAAAACUGGUCUCCCAAGGUGGCCUGCCAACCACUUUCUAAAAGAAUACCGUUGUGACAAAUGAGGACUAGAAAGCCUUGACUGUGAGGGAAGUGGCACCUGUAGAAGAAAUUACAAGCUCCCGGCUCCUCAGGGAUUUUGCCUCAGGGGCACUGCUGUCCCCCUGGGCUUUUCAUACUAACCUCUGAGCAGGGACAGUCGGUGAGUGGUUGCUGUUGGCGGACAGCCAGGAUGGAGGGCCCCUUGUCCACAAGCAUUGGUGCCUGGUCUCCAGCCUCCCUCUAGAACAACAUUGUAUCACACACCAGUCUCCUGCCUUUGAUAUAGGGAGAAAAGCAACAUUCCAUCCUGCCAGGUCUCCUGUCUAGUCAGCUGCCUCUCUUGGGAAGAGGAAACACACCAUUCUAUCAAGCUCCAGACUCCUCCCUUAAGGAGAAGAAAUUAUUUCUUCAGCUCCCACUACUCUUCCCUUUUCCUGAAGAACCCAGGAGAACUCCACUCUAAGGCCUAGCCCCUGUGAACAAUCAAAGCCUAAGCGACCUAAUUCCUCUGGGAUUAAGAGAUUCCCUGACAGACAGUAUCUUCCCUGGUACAAUGAUUCUGAUUGCAGCCUUAUUCUCUGGCCCCUGUUGCCCAGUUCCUUUUCCCCACUCAGCCCAAGCUAACCUUGACUCCUGCCCAACUCUUGCCCUCAUGCUGGAGGACUUCAGCUCCUGUAUAGCUACCCUCUCAAAUAAACACCCUAACUGCUCAGUUCCUCCCUCAACUUGCUUCCUAUGGUCUCCUCCUGCACCCCACCUUAGCCACACACAAAGAUGGUCAUACCUUUGAUCUUGCCAUCUUCCACAAGUGUGCCAUCUCCAUGUUCAUGAACUCUAAAGUUCUCUUAUCUGAUUACAAUUGGUUAACAUCUCCCUCUCCCUCUCCCUCACAAUCCCGAGCCCUGGUCUUUUUCUCCGCUGUGACAUCUAAUCCCUUGGCCUCUCAGUUUCUUCCCAGGCAAUCAUCCUGGUUACACUAGUUACAGCCUUUUUACCUUUCCCAUAUUAAUCCCUAGUGGACUUGCCUCCUCAUUGUAUCACCAAUCUUGCCCUGCCAAGUCUCAUCCUGAAAUUACUUCCACCAUCUCCUGCCUUCACUCCCACAUAUAGGCUAGUAAAUGAGUCUGGAGGAAAAUCACAAAAUUCUGCUGACCGAGUCCACUCCAGAUUUAGAAUACAUAGCCUCAACUUUGUCCUCCCUGAUGAUUGUAAGGCAAUCCUUUUAAACACUCACAAUUGACUGGGUAGCUAGGUGGUGCAUCAGAUAGCAUAUUGGACUUUUACAGUCAGGAAGACUUAUUUUCCUGAGUUCAAAUCUGGCCUCAGACACUUACUAGUUGUGUGGCCUGGUCAAGUCACUUAAUAUCAUUUGCCUGAGUAAAAUCUGUAAAAUGAGCUGAAGAAGGAAAUGGCAGACCACUCUAGCAUCUCUGCCAACGGAGUCAGGAAGAGUCAGACAUGACUCAAAAAUAACUUAACAACAAAUUAAUUCACUAUCCCAUUUACUUCAGUGGUUCUUCCAAACUUUUUAAAAUCUCUCCUCAAAGCUCCCACAGCUUCUCUUCCCUCCACCUACUCAGCAGAGAAUCUUGGGUAAUAUUUUACCCCCAAAAUUGGUACCAUUCACCAAGAAUUCCCUUUUGUCCUUUCACCCUUGUCUUACAUGAAAAAGAAGCUGUUUCUAUGAUCUAGCAUCUCCAACGGAUUGCUCCUUCUUUCAUCUCCACUCUAAUCUCUAUUUCCCUGCUACCUACAAACAUGCCCAUGUCUCCCCAUCUUCAAAAAAUCCUCAGUUGAUCUUUCUAUCCUCUCUAGCUAUUAUUGCACAUUUCCUCCCAUGGUUAAACUCUAGAAGGAGGCUAUCAUAUACAUCCACUUCCUCUCCUCUCACUGUCUUCUUAACUCUCUAUAGUCUGGCUUCCAACUUCAUCAUUCAAACAAACCUGCUCUUUCUAGAAACAUUAAUGAUGUCUUUAUUGGCAAAUCCAAUGGCCUUCACAAAUCCUCAUCCUCUUGACUUCUCUGCAGGCUUUGACAAUGUCUCCUUGAUACUCUUUUUUUCUCUAGGAUUUUGGUGAUACUACCUUUUCCUGAUUCUCCUCCUACCAAAUAUGACUGCUCCUUCUCAGUCUGCUUUGCUGGAUCUCCAUCCAUGUCAGGUCUGCUAACUGUGAGUGCCUUUCAGGGUUCUGUCCUCACCCCUUCUCUCUCUAAGGUGCUUGGUGACCUCAUCAGAUGUCGUGAACCUAAUUGUUAUUUCUGUGCUAAUGAUUCUCAGAUCUACUUACUCAGCUUGAACCCUUCUGCUGUCUUCUCUUUGGGCUAGUCUCACAUCUUCAACUGCCAUUUGGAGAACUUGAACAUGUCCCAUAGACAUCUUAAAACUAAAUAUGUCCCAAACUAAAAUUAUAAUUUCCCUUGCAACCCUCCCCUCUCUUACCUUCUCUGUUAUUGUAGAGGGUACCACCAUACCUUGUUCCCUAGAUCCACAGAAUAGCAAGGAGGAGUCAUCCUGGACUCCUUGCCAUCUCUCAUCCCACCCCAAUAUCCAAUCUGUUGUCAAGGCCUGCUGAUUGUACCUUUACAUCCCUCAAAUCCUUCCUCUCCUGCCACCUUCUGAUAUUAUGUCCUCAUCACCUCACAGCUGGACUAUUGUGAUAUCCUGCUGGUCUUUCUCCACUACAGUCCAUUCUUCUUUCAUCCACUAAAUGAUCUUCCUAAAUCUCAGGUCCUACCAUGUCACAGCCCCACUCCCCACCCAAUAAACUCCAGUGGCUCCCAAUCAUCUCUAUAAUCAAAUACAAAAUGCUCUGUUUGGCACUCAAAGCCCUUCAUAAACUUUCCUUCUCUUAUCUUCUCAGUCCUCUUAUGAAUUACACCAUCCUCACCAUCCAUGUACUCUUCAAUCCUGUGAUAGUAGCCUCCUCACUAUUCUUAAAAAAAAAACAAAACCCUCCAUCUGCUGACUCUGGCCAUUUUCACUGGUUGUUCUCCACACCCAGAAUGCUCUCUUUUCUCAUCUCUGCCUCACUUCCUUCAGCACCUACCUAACAGCCCAUCUUCUACAGAAAACACAUCCCAGACCCUCUUAAUUCUAGUGCCUUCCCACUAUUGGUUUUCCUAUUUAUUCUGUAUAUAGCUUAUUUGUAUAUAGUUGUUUAUAUGUUGUCUCCCCAUUAGACUGUGAGCUCCUUGAGGGCAAGUUUUGCCUUUCUUUGUAUUCCCCAUGCCUGGUACAUAGUAGGCACUUAAUAAAUAUUUAUUCACUGACUGGCUGAUAAAGGGUUAUUCCCCUUAAGGUUGGGUGUGGGAAGCAAACAGGAAAUAGGUAUGAGAAGCACUGAUAUUCCUAAGGCUCUUGAACUCUGGACCCUGGGCUUUCUUUACCAAUGUUGAAGGGUGGUGCCAGCAAGUGGUAGAGGAGACUUGGCCUUCCUGGCAUGCACGUGCACGUGCACGCACACACACACACACACACACACACACAAACUCAAAACAGUGCCCUGUACUGAAAUCUUUUUACAUUCCUCUUUUUGAAAGUCUAGUUUCCUAAUGGAAACUGGGCACACUGUGUACCUACGAAGGAUUCCUCCUUGAAGUUGGUUAUAUAUAGUAAGCAUCUGACUAAGAGCAAUUGACAGAAGUAUCUCUUGAGUGUUCUGCUUUGACAAGAAAAAGAAAAAGACAUCUCAUUGAGCGUAGUUAAGAAGGGAUAGAACAGUCUGGGGUAAAUCAUGUCUAGUAUGUUAUGAUGAACCCUAAUUCCUGGAACUUUUGGUCUUGUCCAUAUUUGAUUUUGUGGGAUUUUUUCUUUUCUUUGGAGAAUAAUUUAUUUACAUCAAUGGUAGAAAAGUUCAAAGUCAGGAUGGAUCUUUGUCACUUUAUCUCUAAUCAGAGGUGGUUCAAGUUGUGGAAUGUAAAACAAAACAAAACAAAAAACAGUCCCUGGAAGAUUUGUGCCUAACAUACAGAAUAAAGAAUUUUUAUUCUAAA
Long non-coding RNA from Monodelphis domestica (gray short-tailed opossum), 4379 nucleotides. RefSeq lists it as uncharacterized. NCBI's taxonomy places the organism in Eukaryota, Metazoa, Chordata, Mammalia, Didelphimorphia, Didelphidae. The record is from RefSeq and is a predicted model, not a curated record.